RNAcentral lists this long non-coding RNA (6081 nucleotides) under Podarcis lilfordi (Lilford's wall lizard). Lineage: Eukaryota; Metazoa; Chordata; Lepidosauria; Squamata; Lacertidae. The record is from RNAcentral.
AGCAGCCGGGGCCGCUACCUGCCUUUAAGGGGAGGGAGCCUGGCGCUCCGCCUGCGCGGGGGGGGAGGGGAGGGGCGGGGAGAAGCCGGAGCAGGCCCCGCCCCUCGGAGCCCCCCCUCGCGGCUGAGGGGAACUGGAGGGGCUGCCCCCCCAGAUGUGCGAAGCUGAAUCCCCCCCCCCCCGAGUUCACCCCGAAGUGCGCGAAGAGGGCGGGGGGCUCUGGGGAGGAAGGGCUUUGUGGGCCGGGGCGUAUUGCCUGUCCCCCCCCCCUUUCCCAAGGAUGCCUCUCCAGCCUCACUAUGGACAGACAUUAGAGUCCUGUAUAUUCUCCAAAGACACCCAGAGAGCAAGGGCUGUACAUCUGUGAGGUGUAUCUGGCGAGGUAGGGAUGCCAUUUGUUCUCUUUUAGCACUGCAGACUAGGUGUGUCUUAGAAUCUUGGGCAAAGCUUUUAAAUCGCCUCUGAACAUGGGCAAAGUGUAUAAUAUACAAUAUAUACUAUAAUGUCUAAAAAAAUGCAUGUAUAAUUUUUAUGCAUUCUGAAGAUAUGUUCUUUGUAUUACUAGAAGAUAUUGAAAUAAUGUUUCGUCUCCAUUCAGAAGGUAUUGAUUAGAUGCUAAUGUGUGUGCAUGUAAAAUGUAUUUUGCAUGAGGACCCACAAAGUAUGGACACCACUUAAGAGGAGUUGCUGCUAGUGGGACUGAUUUCCCCCCCUUUCAGUUGUGGAUUUAUUGAGCAAUAACUUGGAGUGACUACUGUUUUACUUUCCUCACAAACUGCUUCAAAAUUCCUUUUACAAUGUUUUAUCCCAGUUGCAGAACAAAAAGAAACUUAAUUUAAGGUAUUUUACUCAUAAGAGAAACCAGUUUAUAUAAAAUAAAAUUAUGGAAAUGUUGGGAAAGGUCUAAAGACAUAUUUUACUUUCUCUCUUUCCUUAGGCUGUUGGGUUUUUUAUUUAAUGAAAGUCCAAAUUUGCCCUUUAACUUUUAUAUAAGGGAAACUUUAGUCUUGUCAACACAAACUGAAGUAUUACUUUGUAAGAACUGUUGGCAGGUGGCUGGUCUAGACAAGAAGGUGGAUGAGAUUGCACUGGCCUUGAGGGAUCAAGGUGCACUUAGAUCCGCCUUUGGCCCUCGAGGUGCAAGUGGUGACAGGGUCUCCCUUGGCUAAUGCUUAUGUUCCGGCUGCCUAAAUGCAGUUAUCCACGCUCUGGUAACAUCCAGGUUAGACUAUGGGUUUUCCUUUGAAUGCUGCUCAGAAGCUUCAGCUGCAAGGCUGUUGAUUGGGAUCAAUAGGUGGGAACACAUCUCACUGAAUCUUAAGUACAGUGGUACCUCGGGUUACAUACGCUUCAGGUUACAGACUCCGCUAACCCAGAAAUAGUACCUCGGGUUAAGAACUUUGCUUCAGGAUGAGAAGAGAAAUUGUGCAGUUUCAGGUUAAGAACAGACCUCCGGAAUGAAUUAAGUACGUAACCAGAGGUACCACUGUAGUGGCAUUAGUUGCUAUUCUCUUUUUGAACAUGUUCUUAGCUUGGGAUCAAAAUGCCUGAAGGAAUGCCUGCCUCCAAAGCAGCCUGUGCUUGCUUAGUUCAUCAUCAGAGGCCCAUCUCCAAGUUCCCCCACUAUUGGAAGUGAAGUGGGUGGGGACUGAAGAGAGGGUCUUUUAAAUUGUAGCACCACAUUUUUGGAAUUUUCUCCUUGAGGAAGCUUGCCUGGUGCCUCCUUGGCUAUCUUUUCAAUACCAGGGGACACCUUUUUAAAUUUUUUCCUAGUGUAUAAUUGUUAAACUGUGAUUACUGUAUCACUACAUUUUUAAAAGACUGUAAUAUAUAUUUAUUGUAUUGCUGAAAUAAAUGUUUUACUACAUAUUAUGCCACUGUGAUACUAUUUAUAUUGUUGGGUGACACAGAAGCAGAGGAGCGCUGCUUCUGAUGGUGGGGUGUCUGUUCCAACAGGGAUCUGAACAGGUGGUAAGCAGACCUCUCUCUUGUAGUCAACAGAAAGUCCUGAAGUAGUGUGUUGCAGGGAUCGGGCCAGGGCACCAGUCAGCACUCUGCAUAUCACCCAACUGCCCCAAUCUUUGGGCCCUCCACCUUCUGCCCUGCCCUUUUAGGAUUGCUCUACCUAUCAGCAUUUCCCCUAUGCACAAGCAAUCGAGUGGUGCUAGCACAUUUACAAAGUUAAGCAGGGUCCUGUAUGCUUUCAGUCCUGAACAUUGCUAACAACCUAAUGAACAACCUAACCUGUGAGCCAGACAGUUGUGUGUACAUCAGUUUUACUGCAGCAACCAUGGAAAUAUUUUUGGGAUGCUUCUCUUGGCUUAUAUUUUCCAACUACUGUGAUUCAAAGCAAUACCUUUUACUGGACCCAAGUUGUUCUUGAGUUUGGAAUAAGGAAAAAUCAGGCAAGGAUGCCACUAUUUAUUUUAUUAAGAGGUUCCCUCCCCAGCUAUUGAUAUUUUACACCAGGGCUGAUAUUUUACACCAGUGUAUACAAACACUUGGUUGCCAGCUGAAAGACUUAAGUCAUAUUGGUUGCUUAUUACUUUAUGAGAAGGCUCAGUUUUUUAGCAGCUUGUUCAAUAGUUCCUGAAUCAGAUUGCUCACUGAAGAGUUCACUGUUUGACUUUUCUUUCACUCAGUCUGUGCUCUGUAUAGAGUUCUGUACCAGAAUAUUUUCUUUCUCUGAAAUUGGUCGGCAAGAGUUCCUGCUCCGACCUUUGUUUGGAAGGGAGGAACUUUAGUUGUACCACCAGGUCUGCUGAUACCUGAUCUGUGGCCUAGCUUUCUUGAGGAUUCAAGUCCAGCAUUAGCUUCCUGAAUUACCAUAUCAAGUAGCAAGGAAGGGACAGAACUAAAGCAGGUGUCAUAUUGCAGUCACUGGCAGCCAUUACAACAUCUGCCUUGCUCUUGUUUUGUACUUUUUUAUAUAAUCACACACAGUUCCCUGCAAACUGCUUGAGAAUCUAUCUAGUGUUCCUGUAAGCUUAAACCACCUGCUUCAAAUGACAUUUUAGCAAGUUUUAGUCAUUAUUUUCUCAGUCUUUCUUCACUGUCAAAAAUAAAAACAACUCCCCCCUAAACUAACCUGAACAGAAACCUAGGACUUUUAAAAAUAAAAGCAAAUAGUCCCCUCCACUCUUAAAGGAUUUGAGAAUGUUGAAUCCAUUUUCCAAAUCUGCUAAGAUGCUUAACAUUUAUGAGGGUGGGGUAAGAGAGAUGGUUUGGAAAUAUUACUGCAUGAUAUUAUGUUCUGAAACAUAAUAUGUAACAAAUUCUUAUUUAGGCAUUUUCUGACAUGAUUUUUUUUUUUUAGGUCUAGCUAUUGUUAUGACUGUUGACCAAUAGUUCUUUUGUUAGGCAGAUUGCUGGCUAACAAUAAAAGAUGGCUGUUGAUGUUUCAUCAAUGGGUGCUAAUAGUUAGGAGAUGGCCUCCUGAUAUUUGAAGCAACCUCUCUGGGAUUUUUUUGAAUGACAUACCCCCAACAGAGGGGGCGUGGGUGGCGCUGUGGUCUAAACCACAGAGCCUAGGGCUUGCCGAUCAGAUUUGAAUCCCUGAGAUGGGGUGAGCCCCCGUUGCUCAGUCCCUCCUCCUGCCAACCUAGCAGUUCGAAAGCACACCAAAAAAAAAAGUGCAAGUAGAUAAAUAGGUACUGCUCCGGCGGGAAGGUAAACGGUGUUUUCAUGUGCUGCUCUGGUUCGCCAGAAGCGGCUUAGUCAUGCUGGCCACAUGACCCGGAAGCUGUACACUGGCUCCCUCGGCCAAUAAAGUGAGAUGAGCGCCGCAACCCCAGAGUCGGCCACGACUGGACCUAAUGGUCAGGGGUCCCUUUACCUUUACCCCCAACAGACCUUGCAGAAGGUGUCACCCCUCACAAGGGCUAAGGUUGUGGGUGGGUGGGUGGCUGGGUGUGAGAGAAAGAAAGAGAACAAGCAGUAUCUGCCUUGUAGGACUUCUCUUUCACAUUCAUUUAUGCUCUGCUUUUAGCUUUGCACAUCAAGCAAAUGUUACAAAGGUACCGUAAGUAUUCAGUGCUCUAUUAUCCAAAAGAAAUUAAACCAAUAUUGUUGCCCCUGGAACUUUUUACAGCUCAAAAAUUGUGAGACAUGCAAUAGUUUUAUGCUAUUACCUUAAUUUGUGAAAAGAUUUAAACUGAAACUAAGAGCAACAUAUUGUAAAAAAAAUAAUACUUAUUCAGAAAGCAUAUGCUUAAAAAUGGGGUUCAUUACCUUGCAGUUGUGUUCCUUACAACUUUUGUAUAAGGUUUAGUACUGUUAACCUGAAUUUUUGUGAAAUACAAAAAAGAUUAAAAGUCUAGAAUCAGAAAUGGAGUAGGAAAAAGGUGUGGCCUUGACUGAGGGGCAGGGAGAAAGCUUAGGAAAGAACAGGGAUGUUCCUAUGCCAUCAGAUGGAAGGGCCUGUGUUUAGGACCGGUUAGGAAAAAGUGGAGGUGUCUGUAACAGUGGGUGGAAGCAAGCUACUGCCAGAGGGCUUUCCAGCAGACUCUGCUUAAUGUUGUUAAUCCUAUACUGUACUCUCUUACCUGGGAUUAGUUACUCUUAUUAGUUGUUUUGCUUACCAGGGGCCCGGUGUUUCUGUGUUAUCAACACAUAUCCUCCUAUAUGAGUAAAUAUGUUUCCGUAAUAUGAUCUGUUACUUCAGAAGCAUUUUUAUUUGCAUGUAGCACACUUUAAAAAUACACACAGAUGUCCUGACUAGAGGCAGUGUGACACUAAAAGUUAAGGAACAUAAGCAAAAGCUACUUAGCACCCCCAACACACACUAACAUUUUAAGCUGUUUGUAACAACUUAAAUAAACUUCCUUGAUUGGAUUUAUGCUAAUGGAUCUCCUUUAGGCAUUUCUAAUUCAUUUACAUUUAAUUUUAAGGUUGCCUCUGUGUGUGUUUCCAAUUCAAACUAAUACCAUUAACAGAUAAAAUGAAAGUGUGUAACAGGUCAGAAGCCACAAGAUGGCAAUAGUUGAAGAGCAAUUUGCUUCAAGAAGGAGUUGGAUUGUGGAUACUACAGUGAGAUUACUCCUACUAUGUUAUUUAUAUAGUGCCCAUCAUCUGUAGCUAGAAAGGCACUUUCUGUAAUUAAAUGUAAUUUUAUUUUCUGUACUGAUGGGAAAAGGAGGAAAUGGAGGUGAAGGGAUCUAUCAAAGGUGUGUGGCAGAGGAAUGCAUAGCACACACAUCUCCUUGCAGAGAAGAAUAUUGGACCAAAUAUGGUGGACUGAGAAACCCAAAUUUUAGGUCCCUUCAUGUCCCUAUUUUGAACACAAAGUUACUCCUAUGUCAGUUCCAAGAAGUACAAAACAGGAAAUGGGUAUCUAGUGGAUGUUUGUAUGUUAAAAAGUCUUUAAGGGGCCAUCAAAUGGAUGUUUAGAUACUAUCUCCAAUCCAAGGGCCAGUCUUAAAGUAUGGAAUGGAAUGUAAAACAAUUACUGAAAUGCACUUCACCUUGGGGUGCCUUUGAAAAGUGUUUCAAAAUUACAGCAAUAUCAGAAUGAAAUGGACACACUGUUAAUAAAAUGUGUCUUAUAGAAUGAAUAACACUCAGAAGCAGUUGCUUUGAAGGUUGUUGUUUUCAAUCAAGCAGUAUAUAAAUUUUAUGAAAUAAAUACAAAUAAUCUAGUUUUCCAUUCUCCUUUCACACUUUUCCACCACCCACCCCUGGGUGCUGGUUUCUUUUAUUCCUCCUCCCUUGUCCCUUGACAUUAUCUCCUUCCUCCUAUAACAACUUUCCUGUCUUAUCCCCCUUUUGAGUAGCUGCUAGGACUUGAAUAGCAGCUAGGACUUCCUACUCAGGUAAGACUAAGGUUCCAUGUAAUUCUCACUUAACCAAGGAGGGAGCCCCCCAGAGAUGGGAGGGAAGACUAGGCAUGGGCAAUGCAAAAAAUAUGCACAUGUGGAUGCAUUGAACUGCUGUGCAGUCACACAAUAAGAGCAACUAAUCCCUGGAUGCAGCUGUCCUUCACCCCAACCAAAUUUGGAUCUGAUCAUGUCCAUGCCAGAAGGGACAUUAAAAAUAUGUAUAUUUUGUUUUAUUUUUCUAAACAACAAAACAGAUAAUACACAC